This 292-nucleotide ribosomal RNA is filed under the name uncultured bacterium. Its description in RNAcentral is "partial 16S ribosomal RNA". It matches the Rfam family "Bacterial small subunit ribosomal RNA", at positions 505 to 796 of the family's 1533-position model. The record is from RNAcentral.
GUGUCAGCAGCCGCGGUAAUACGUAGGUGGCAAGCGUUGUCCGGAAUUACUGGGUGUAAAGGGCGUGUAGGCGGGUGUAUAAGUCAGAUGUGAAAUCCUGGGGCUCAACCCCAGAGCUGCAUCUGAAACUGUACAUCUUGAGUGCUGGAGAGGAAAGCGGAAUUCCUAGUGUAGCGGUGAAAUGCGUAGAUAUUAGGAGGAACACCAGUGGCGAAGGCGGCUUUCUGGACAGUAACUGACGCUGAGGCGCGAAAGCGUGGGGAGCAAACAGGAUUAGAAACCCGGGUAGUCC